UGCUGAAGUCCAUCGGCGACGGUAACC
This 27-nucleotide small RNA is filed under the name Bombyx mori (domestic silkworm). Its description in RNAcentral is "ovarian small RNA-34201". The record is from RNAcentral. Lineage: Eukaryota; Metazoa; Arthropoda; Insecta; Lepidoptera; Bombycidae.